RNAcentral lists this RNase P RNA (237 nucleotides) under Deltaproteobacteria bacterium. RNAcentral's name for it is "partial RNase P RNA component class A". It matches the Rfam family "Bacterial RNase P class A", at positions 114 to 367 of the family's 367-position model. From Rfam's summary of the family: Ribonuclease P (RNase P) is a ubiquitous endoribonuclease, found in archaea, bacteria and eukarya as well as chloroplasts and mitochondria. The record is from RNAcentral. Lineage: Bacteria; Pseudomonadati; Myxococcota; Myxococcia.
ACAGAAAACAUACCGCCCAUAAGGGUAAGGGUGAAAUGGUGGGGUAAGAGCCCACCGGCGCACGAGUGAUCGCGCGCGCAUGCUAAACCCCACCCGGAGCAAGACCAAAUAGGAGGGUGAGUGGCCCGCUCAUAUCUCUCGGGUAUGGUCGCUCGAGCCGGCGAGCAAUCGCAUGGCCCAGAUGAAUGAUCGCCGCCCGCAAGGGUACAGAACCCGGCUUACAGACUCACUCCGGCA